Molecule: non-coding RNA, 8320 nt
Organism: Rattus norvegicus (Norway rat)
Lineage: Eukaryota; Metazoa; Chordata; Mammalia; Rodentia; Muridae
Source: RefSeq, a predicted model, not a curated record
AGGAAAUAGGAAGCAGAAAGCAAGAAGCAGGAACUAGGAAGCAGAAGGCCUUCAUUCUUUCGAGGAACUCACAGAGUUGAGUAAAAGAGGCUCACAGGGCCACCACCGGUAAUCCCACAAAGUAUACAGGAAGUUUCCAUCUCAAUGGCCAUCUUGUCUACCUUGAGGAGAUGCUGUCAACAAUACAGAAGAUGCCUUCUAAGGCAGAUUGGUUUGCUCACUAUUGCAGUUGGCAAAGAUACCAGAAGACUACACGUAGCAUGCGUCUAAUAUGGCUUUAGGUGCUUCUGUGACUAAGCCUGGGGAUGCUCUCUGUCACUAAUGGAAGGCGAGACUACAUCAGCCCAAAUAUGCACAUGUUCUUUACAGCAUGGGAAGACAGCGGUAGGCCUGAAGAGUCAUAAUCCAGGUUAGAGAUUUGAGGUUGUAUCUAAGAGUGCCCAGGAGAGAGAAAAAGGGUCAUUCUUAGGUAGGGUGACUGUGGCUACCUUUUGCCGUGUUGUCUGGUCUGGAGAUAACCACUAUGAAGUUUUCUCCUGACGUGCUUGGCUGGUUGGGGUUUCAGAGGUAAGAUGCAAAGAAAUGUCUCAUACAUUAACUAUGCUAACAGAGUAACGAGGAGUCCAGCGGGAACGUGCCUGACUGUAGCACCAGCAAUCAAAGGACAACUGUACCCCUUGGAUGCCCAGUCCCAGGGUGCCAUGAGAGCCCAGCACUAAGAUGGUUCAGGGCCUGGCGUGACCUCCCAGGACUGUAGGAAUCUGAGGAGUGGGAUUGAAGACCGGCUUGGGCCUCGCUGCAGCACACCCUGAGGACAUCUGUCCUCGCCUGGCCGGCAGGCAGACCACUGGGUAGCUUGCUGGGUCUGUCGUGGCAGGUUUGAGUCCUGAAGAAUUAUGUGUGAUGCCACAGCCAAAUCUGUGCAGAAGCCUGAGGGACCCGGGCUUUUCUGGCAGCACCCACGUCCCAGCCAGCUCAGGGCACUUCUCGGCAGAGAGUGGUUUUGCAUUACAUAGCUCUUGCACUGAGUAAGCGGGGUCUUCUGCUUACCGGUCCCAGUGGGCGAAGGGAUGGAUUGGGGGGAAAUCAGCAGAUGUGGCUAACACACACUCGUGCGCAGGUCUAUUCUGGUUCAAGCAAGCCAAUGCGUGUGCUGGGGCAUAGAGUUCUCUACCUCUGGUCUUUAUUUAGAUGAGUACAUGCUGUGUGUACAUAUUUUAUACGUCCCUGACAACAACGAAAUUAACAUACAUACCCCUUCAUGUGCAUUCACGGCGAGUGACGUGUGGCUUUGAAACUGGAAUCUGAAUUGCGUAUUGCACUUAAAAUAUUUUCUGCAGGUACAGGUUCGCACCGGGCUACAGUUGGGGGCGGGGGUGGGGAUUCUAUCUCCCAUGUAAGAAGGCAGAGCGGGAGACAGUCAACAUCAGCUGACCUCCAGCCGCACAGGUCAAAUGUUUCUUUGAAAACAGUGCUUUCAUCGAAGUUUCCCUCUCAUCUUUUUUUGUUCACGAAGGCUACAGAAAUAUUUUCCACUUUUACAGCAUUAUUUUUCCUAGGCAGUACUAGUAUUGUUUCAACAACAUUGUGUGACUCGAUUCAUUUGUAAAAUGAACACUGGCUGGCUGCACUGUAGCCAGGCAGCGGGGUGUGCAUUUCGGGAUGAAGAUGGUUGUGUAUAUCGCUAACAGGUGUUUCCAUAAAACACAGCUCCUGCUUGCUAUUUUAUAUAAUAAUUCAUGUCUCUUUAAUUAUUUUUGAGCAGUCACAACUAUGGAGAUUGCUAUGUACCGCUGUGGCUCAGACAGUAAUAUAAUUAUAAUUAAUACAAAUGCUCUCCAACUUAGGUAAGAUCUGCGGCAAUUUUAGAAGCGACAGCAAACAUAAUUAAUCACGGUAAAAUCGGCAGUGGUGAUACGCUAAAGUCUGUCAAACUGUUAUUUAGAUGAAUUAUCCCUCAUGGAGAAUGUUGGAAAUGCAGGUAUUUUUAUUUGCACAAAGGUACUAAAGCAGAUGAGGGUAAAAUAUGGUUAAAAAAAAAAAGGGAGCCCUCCUAUUCGAAUUACUGUGAAUCAGUCAAGAGAGUACCUGUAGUGGGGCUACGUGUAAAACUCCAUUUUCUAGAUGUUCAGCUUGCAGCCUUCUUUGGCUUUUGCUGUUCCCAAAUAUGGCACUGCCAGAGACAUAUGCCUUUUAGGAUAGGGACAGAAGACAUGGACUUGCCCACAGAUGGGAUGAAAGUAAAUGUAUGGGUCUUACCAAAGUCCUUAAAAGCAAAGCCUUUGUAUCAUAGGUCUAGGCAAAGCCUUACAGGUGUGUGGGAGUCAUAGAACAUUGUGACGGACCCCUCAGGGCCAUGCCUGCCCUCAGACACUAUCAUCUCUAGGCCAUGAGUUGAAAGGCUUCACAUUAGCUAUGAGACUGUUUCCUUCACCAAGUACUGAUGCACAGGACUGUCCUUGCAGGAGGCAAAUGAGGUUAGCUACGUCAGUACCCGACGAUGCCUCCUUACAGCACGGCGCUAGGACAUGCGCCAUGGCUGGGAUUUGCCAGAACUCCAAGCUGACUGGCUUGGAGUGCUGACUGGCACAGACAGUGAGCUCAUCCUCCACAAGACACAUUCCCAGUGGCACUACCAGAUAUAAUGAUAUGUUUGCCCCAGUCUCUACUUUCUCUUGUGCUGUGGCUAUGAACGCACCAGCCCAAAUGGGCAGAUAGGUAGAUAAGCUAUAGAUAGGUAGAUGGAUACAUAGACGAUAGAUAGAUAGAUAGAUAGGUGAUAAAUAGAUAAAUGAUAGAUGAUUGAUUGAUGGAUACAUAGAAGACAGAUGAUAGAUGAUAGAUAUAUAGAUGAAAGAUACUAGAUAGAUGAUAGAUGGGUGAUAAAUAAGUCGAUAAUAGAUGAUAGGUAGACAAUAGAUACUAGAUAGAUGAUAAAUAAAUGGUAGAUGAUAGAUACUAGAUAGACGAUAGAUCAAUGAUAGAUAGAUAGAUAGAUGAUAGAUAGAUGGUAGAAAUAAAUCUGUGAGUAGAGGAAAGCCAGGCUAGAGAAACACAAACAGAAAAUCCCACAAAUCUGAUCAUACUAAUUUCCACCUAGUAGAAAAAUUAGCCAGUUCUGCGUAGACAUACACACCUGAGGCCAUUCUUGCACACACACACACACACACACACACACACACACACACACACACCCCCUCGUUUUCUUCAUUGCCUGCUGGCUUUUCCUUAUUUAUUGAAGGUCUUUUGUGACAUGGUGGGAAAUGUGGCUCACCAGCCACUAAUACAGGGCUUCAAGUGACUGCACAAGAGAAGGUAUUUGGAAGACCUACUAGGUAGUUUAAAUAAUGAAACAUGCUUGUUACACACGAGUAAAACUCCAGUGACCAAUGCGUGAUUCAUGCAGUAUUUUAACUAUUCUGUCUAAAAAUGGUGCUUGUAAAAUUUAGACUUGAAUUUUGGUGAAAAAGGCCCUGAACAACUCCCAGUUUUGAGCUUUGUGUCACGUGCAGCACAGGCCUAAAACUUAAAGCGUUGCAUUCAUAGGCAGAGUGCGUUGGCUAAUUUGUCUUACAGAGAGCACAUCCUCUCUUUCAGAGAAAGCAGAUACAGCACUGGUGCAUGCUGUGCAGACAGCCCUGUUAAGAUUAUUGUGUAGUAAAUAAUCAUGUAAAAUCUGACAUGACUUAUGGGUCUUUAGUCUAAAGUUGUAUCAAGGCCAUAUGUUACCAGAGGCAAUCUCUUCAAAUGCAUAAUUUAUAGCAUCAGCCCUGUGACUACCUGAGAGACCUGGGUAGAGAAAUGAGCACAUCUAGCAGGGAAAACAAAAGACCCUUGGAGGAUUAGUUAGCAUUUAGCUGAGGUCACAGGGGCAACUGGAUUACUACGUUUUAAGCUGUUCCUCACAGAGAGCUUGCUGGAAGACACGAAGAUCCAAUCUAGUCCAAGAAUUUGAAACAAAUCUCUGAAAUCUUCAUUUUGAAUAUCUAGGCGUGAUGUCCAUGCCUAUGGUUUGUUCCUACUACCUAUUAUUACUUAGGCUUUUCCUUGGUGCAUGUUAGAACAAUAGAAAAGCUCACUGUUAUCCCCAAAUCGGUAUCUACAUAAACAACUGAGGUAAGGAUCAGGCAAAGAUCACCCAGAAAAAAAAAUGAGUGAUGAGGGACAAAGGAAAAGAGAAAAACCAAAACAAAACCAGUAUGAGAUGUGAGUAAGAAUGAGACAUAAAGAUGUGGAGGCAAAUAAAGUUAGGCAUGGUAGCUCAUGCCUACAGUCCCAGCAUUCAAAUGGUGGUAGUAAGAUCUUAAGUUCAAGCCUAGCUGGGGCCAUAGAGUCAACCCCCAUUUCUCAAAAGCAAACAAGCAAACAGAAGCAUUAAAACAAGGUAGGGAGCUUCCAUUUUCUGUCUGCGCCCAGUGACGACUCUGUUCCAGAGCUCUCUGUACCCAGAUCCCACUAGGAGAGAGCUGGUCUCCCAGGAGUGCUGUAAGGAGGCUUACAGGAGUAUCAAGCCACUGUCAGAGUCAGCAAGACCAGCAAACACUAGAGAUAACCAGAUGGCAAGCGGCAAACUCAAGAACCUAAGCCACAGAAACCAAGGCCACUUGGCAUCAUCAGAACCCAGUUCUCCACAACAAGUAAUGGAUACUCUAACACACUAGAAAAGCAAGAUUUUGAUUUAAAAAUCACAUCUCAUAAUAAUGUUGGAGCAUUUUUAGAAGGACAUAAAUAACUCCCUUAAGGAAAUACAGGAUAACACAGGUAAACAGGUAGAAGCCUAUAAAGAAGAAACACAAAAAAGAAUUACAGGAAAACACAACCAAAACAGGUAAAGAAACUGAAUAAAACCAUUUAGGAUCUAAAGAUGGAAAUAGAAACAAUAAAGAAAUCACAAAUGGAGACAACCAUGGAAAUAGAAAACCUAGGAAAGAGAUCAGGAGACAGAGGUAAACAUCACCAACAGAAUACAGGAGAUAGAAGAGAGAAUCUCGAGUAGAAGAUACUAUAGGAAACAUUGACAUAACAGCCAAAGAAAAUGCAAAACACAAAAAGAUCCUAAGCUAAAACAUCCAGGAAAACCAGGACACAAUGAGAAGAUCAAGCCUAAGGAUAAAAGGUAUAGAAGAAAGCAAAGAUUCCUAACUUAAAGGGCCAGUAAAUAUCUUCAACAAAAUUAUAGAAGAAAACUUCCCUAACCUAAAGAAAGAAAUGCCCAUAAACACACAAGAAGCCUACAGAAUUCUAAAUAGAUUGGACCAGAAAAGAAAUUCCACCCAUCACAUAAUAGUCAAAACACCAAAUAUACAAAACAAAGAAAGAAAAUUAAAAGCAGUAAGGGAAAAAGGUCAAGUAACAUAUAAAGGCAGACCUAUCAAAAUUAGACCAGAUUUCUCAACAGAAACUAUGAAAGCUAGAAGAUCCUGGGCAGAUGUCAUAGAUCCUAAGAGAACAGAAAUGCCAGCCCAAUUACUGUAUCCCACAAAACUCUCAAUUACCAUAGAUGGAGAAACCAAGAUAUUCCAUGACAUAACCAAGUUUACACAAUAUAUUUCCACAAAUCCAGCCCUACAAAGGAUAAUAGUUGGAAAACUCAAACACAAGGAGGGAAACUACACCCUAGAAAAAACAAGAAAGUAAUCUUCUUUCAACUAACCCCAAAGAAGAUAGCCACACAAACAUAAUUCCACCUCUAGCAACAAAAGUAGCAGGAAAAAACAAUCACUAUUUCUUAAUAUCUCUUAACAUCAAUAGACUAAAUUCCCCAAUAAAAAGACAUAGAUUAACAGACUGGAUAUGUAAACAGGACCCAGCAUUUUGCUGCAUACAGGUAACACCUCAGUGACAAAGACAGACACUUGCUCAGAGUAAAAGGCUGGGAAAAAAUUUUCCAAGCAAAUGGUCCCAAGAAACAAGCUGGAGUAGCCAUUCUAAUAUCAAAUAAAAUUGCCUUUCAACCAAAAGUUAUCAAAAAAGUUAAGGAAGAAUAUUUCAUAUUCAUCAAAGGAAAAAUCCACCAAGAUAAACUCUCAAUUCUGAAUAUCUAUGCUCCAAAUUAAAAGACACCAAGGUCCAUAAAAGAAACCUUACUAAAGCUCAAAGCACAUUGCACCUCUCACAAUAAGAGUGGGAGACUUCAACACCCCACUCUCAUCAAUGGACAGAUCAUAGAAACAGAAACUAAACAGAGACACAGUGAAACUAAAAGAAGUUAUGAGUCAAAUGGAUUUACAGAUAUCUACAGAACAUUUCAUCAUAAAACAAAAGAAUAUACCUUCUUCUCAGCACCUCAUGUUACCUUCUCCAAAAUUGAGCAUAUAAUCAGUCACAAAAUAGGCCUCAACAGAUACAAGAAGAUUAAAAUAAUCCCAUGCAUGCUAUCAGAUUACCAUGGACUAAGGCUGGUCUUGAAUAACAACAAAAACAACAGAAAACCCACAUACACAUGGAAGCUGAACAAUGCUCUACUCAAUGAUAAUUGGUCAAGGAAGAAAUAAGGAAAGAAAUUAAAGACUUUUUAGAAUUUAAUGAAAAUGAAGGCACAACAUACUCAAAUUAUUGGACACAAUGAAAGCUGUGCUAAGAGGAAAACUCAUAGCUCUGAGUGCCUCCAAAAAGAACUGAAGAGAGCACACACUAGCAGCUUGAGAGCUCACCUGAAAGCUCUAGAAUAAAAAGAAGCAAAUAUACACAAGAGAGUAGAUGGCAGGAAACAAUGAAAUUCCUGAAAUCAACCAAGUAGAAACAAAAAGAACCAUGCAAGGAAUCAACAAAACCAGGAGUUGGUUCUUUGAGAAAAUCAACAAGAUCGACUACCUUUAGUCAGACUAACCAGAGGGCACAGAGACAGUAUCCAAAUUAACAAAAUCAGAAAUGAAAAGGGAGACAUAACAACAGAAUCUGAGGAAAUUAAAAAAAAAACCAUCAGAUCCUACUACAAAAGCCUAUAUUCAACAAAAUUGGAAAAUCUGGAGGAAAUGGACACUUUUCUAGACAGAUAUCAGGUACCAAAGUUAAAUCAGGAUCAGAUAAACUAUCCAAACAGUCCCAUAACCCCUAAAGAAAUAGAAGCAGUUAUUAAAAGUCUCCCAACCAAAAAGGGCCCAGGACCAGAUGGUUUUAGUGCAGAAUUCUAUCAGACCUUCAUAGAAGACCUAAUACCAUUACUGUCCAAACUAUUCCACAAAACAGAAACAGAAGGAACACUACCCAAUUUGUUUGAUGAAGCCACAAUUAUGUGUAUACCUAAACCACACAAAGACCCAACCAAGAAAAAGAACUUCAAACCAAUUUUUCUUAUUAAUAUCAAUGCCAAAAUACUCAAUAAAAUUUUCACAAACCAAACCCAAGAUCACAUUAAAAUGAUCAUCCAUCAUGACCAAGUAGGCUUCAUCCCAGGGAUGCAGGGAUGGUUCAAUAUACGGAAAUCUGUCAAUGUAAUCCACUAUAUAAACAAAAUCAAAGAAAAAAAAAACACAUGAUCCUCUCAUUAAAUGCUGAGAAUACAUUUUAUAAAAUUCAAUACCCCUUCAUGAUAAAAGAUCAUGAAUUCAAGGGAAGAUCAGGAAUUCAAGGUCCAUACAUAAACAUAAUAAAAGCCAUAUGCAGCAAACCAGUAGCUAACAUCAAACUAAAUGGAGAGAAACUUGAAGCAAUCCCACUAAAAUCAGAGACUAGACAAAGCAGCCCACUUUCUUCCUACCUAUUCAAUAUAUUACUUGAAGUCCUAGCCAGAGCAAUCACACAACAAAAAGAGGUCAAGGGGAUACAAAUUGGAAAGGAAGAAGUCAAAAUAACACUAUUUGCAGAUGAUAUGAUAGUAUACUUAAGUGACCCCAAAAAUUCCACAAGAGACUUCCUAAACAUGAUAAUCAACUACAGCAAAGUGGCUGGAUAUAAAAUUAACUUGAACAAAUCAGUAGCCUUAUUCUACUCGAAGGAUAAACAGGCUGAGAAAAAAAUUAAAGAAAAUGCUACCCUUCACAAUAGAUUCUAACCGAGCAAGUGAAAGAUCCAUGUGACAGGAACUUCAAGUUUCCGAAGACAGAAACUGAAGCUCUCAGAAGAUGGAAAGAUCUCCCAUGCUCAUGGAUUGGCAGGAUUAAUAUAGUAAAAAUGGUCAUCUUGCCAAAAGCAAUCUACAGAUUCAAUGCAAUCCCCAUCAAAAUUCCAACUCAAUACUUCACAGGGUUAGAAAGAGCAAUUUGCAAAUUCAUUUGGAAUAACAAAAGACCCAGGAUAGGAAAAACUAUUCUCAACAAUAAAACAACAACAACAACAACAAAAAAAAAACCACCACUACCAACAACAACAACAACAAAAA